GUGUAAAAGUUGGCGGGGAAGCCGAGUCGGCGGGCGAGCACCCGCUGUAGCCGCCCCGCCCCGCCCCGCCCCGAGGAUGGCGUUUGGAGCAGCCUGGGCUCCACAGCGCGAGACAGGCCAGCCGGGGUUCUAGACAUACGUGGUCCCGGUGCAAAAAAUUAAAAGAUAACCGAACUGACGCACAGACUGACAAAAUAAUCUGAAACUGACUCUAGACGUGCGGGCAAAAUCUCACUGUUUUCAACCUGAAGAUGACUCCUUAGCUGGAAUCUGAAAUGAAAAAAAAGCAGGCUGAGCAAGCCAUGAAGAGCAAGCCAGUAAGCAGCACCCGUCCGUGGCCACUGCAUCGCUCCUGCCUCCAGCCCUGCUUGAGUUCCUGCCGCCAGCCCUGCUUGAGUUCCUGCCCUAACUUCCUUCAGUGGUGAACAGUGAUGUGGAAAUACAAGCCACACAAACCCUUUUCUCCCCAGGUUUCUUUGGUCAUGGUGUUUCAUCAUAGCCAUAGUCUCCCUGACUAAGACAACCAGCCUAUUCCCAACCUCUCUUAUUUGUUUCCUGGAUCUUUCUUAGAGUUUAGUUUUAAAAUUUCACUUUGGGGAUUUUUGCCAUGUCUUAGAUUGUUCCCCAAGAUCAUAUUCAAAAGUUCCUUUCGAAUAAAACCCAAUUUAUCUUUGCCACCACAGUUAAAACUCCCUAGUGCCUUUGCACAUAGUAGUUUGUAAGCCAGAUCAUCUUUGGGGAUAAAAGUGCAGUCUGGCCGGGCGUUGAUGGCACAUGCCUUUAAUCCCAGCAUUCGGGAGGCAGAGGUAGGUGGAUCUCUGUGAGUUCGAGACCAGCCUGGUCUCCAGAGCGAGUGCCAGGAUAGGCUCCAAAGCUACACAGAGAAACCCUGUCUCGAAAAAACCAAAAAAAAAAGAGUGCAGUCUGGGGAAGGGGCUGGUCCUACACUUUCCUUGUUCCACUGGUUCUCAGGAUAAUAAUUCUGUUACUAUUUAUCUUAGAAAACAGAACUAAAAAAAAUACAGGAUUUUUAAAGUUUGAGUGCAAACUAUUAAUUAGCAGAUGACUGUCAAAUUACCACUGUUUAGCCAAGCCUUGUGCCAUAUUUUAUAAUAAGCAAUUAAAAAUCAUUUUCUCAUACAAGGAA
Cricetulus griseus (Chinese hamster) is the source of this 1147-nucleotide non-coding RNA. The record is from RefSeq and is a predicted model, not a curated record. Lineage: Eukaryota; Metazoa; Chordata; Mammalia; Rodentia; Cricetidae.